CGUGCCAGCAGCCGCGGUAAUACGAAGGGACCUAGCGUAGUUCGGAAUUACUGGGCGUAAAGCGCGCGUAGGCCGUUGAGUUAGUUAAUUGUGAAAUCCCAAAGCUUAACUUUGGAACUGCAAUUAAAACUGCUCGACUAGAGUUUGAUAGAGGAAAGCGGAAUACAUAGUGUAGAGGUGAAAUUCGUAGAUAUUAUGUAGAACACCAGUUGCGAAGGCGGCUUUCUGGAUCAACACUGACGCUGAGGCGCGAAAGUAUGGGUAGCAAAGAGGAUUAGAUACCCUCGUAGUCCAUACCAUAAACGAUGAUUGCUAGAUGUUGGAAAUUUAUUUUCAGUAUCGCAGCUAACGCAUUAAGCAAUCCGCCUGGGGAGUACGACCGCAAGGUUAAAACUCAAAUGAAUUGACGGGGACCCGCACAAGCGGUGGAGCAUGUGGUUUAAUUCGAAGAUACGCGCAGAACCUUACCAACCCUUGACAUGUCUGUCGCGAGUUUAGGAAACUAGACUUUUCGGUUCGGCCGGACAGAACACAGGUGCUGCAUGGCUGUCGUCAGCUCGUGUCGUGAGAUGUUGGGUUAAGUCCCGCAACGAGCGCAACCCCUACUUUUAGUUGCCAUCAGGUAAUGCUGGGCACUCUGAAAGAACUGCCAGUGAUAAGCUGGAGGAAGGUGGGGAUGACGUCAAGUCCUCAUGGCCCUUACGGGUUGGGCUACACACGUGCUACAAUGGUAGUGACAAUGAGAUGCAAGGUGGCGACGCUAAGCUAAACUCAAAAAUCUACCUCAGUUCGGAUUGCACUCUGCAACUCGAGUGCAUGAAGCUGGAAUCGCUAGUAAUCGUAGAUCAGCGUGCUACGGUGAAUACGUUCCCGGGUCUUGUACACACCGCCCGUC
This 895-nucleotide ribosomal RNA is filed under the name uncultured Pelagibacteraceae bacterium. Its description in RNAcentral is "bacterial SSU rRNA". It matches the Rfam family "Bacterial small subunit ribosomal RNA", at positions 504 to 1398 of the family's 1533-position model. The record is from RNAcentral. Lineage: Bacteria; Pseudomonadati; Pseudomonadota; Alphaproteobacteria; Candidatus Pelagibacterales; Candidatus Pelagibacteraceae.